Molecule: long non-coding RNA, 817 nt
Organism: Cyprinus carpio carpio
Lineage: Eukaryota; Metazoa; Chordata; Actinopteri; Cypriniformes; Cyprinidae
Source: Ensembl
ACGUGUGUCACGGAGUGACUUUGUAAGGGCGGAACUAAAAAAUGACGGAGAUUGGUUCCGCCCGGACCAUAAUUCUCAAACACCGGGAACUCCGGGAAGGGAAAUCAGGGUUUUAUUGAUCGCAGGUGGAUAGAUGAACGGGGCGAUCGUGGAUUGGGCAGUAUGAAGAGAAGGAGGAGUAUAAAGAGGGCCUCAGAAACUGCAGAGGAGGGGGAAAUUCUUUGUUUUAUUUCAGCCGAUACGGCGAGAGAGUUGGAGCGUUUGGGCGAGUACAGAGGAAAGAAGGCAGAGGAUAUUGUUGGCUGGGCAAAGACGGAGACAAGGGUUUGGCAGAAACAGACACCGGGCUGAGUAUAUUGGAAUGUCUACUUAACUGUGAAAUGCUCCAUGGACAUGUGUAACAAAUUCUGAGUGGUUGAAAACAGGAAGACUCACCGGAAGUAUCGCCGAAGGAGGCCUUUUCGACAGGGCACGUGGCAGCAGGAGAAGUAUCCAGGAGCUGGAAAGAAGAGGGAAAAGAGACCUCGUGUAGUAACGGUGUGAGUACCCUAAACCAUCGUACAGCAGUAUAAUCAUCUAGAGUGAACCAUCUGUGAGCGUUUUGUGAGUUUGUGGCAUAGUAUGUGAGCGGCCCCACCGUGGAGGAGGAUUGUGGGUGAGCCGGGACCAGUGAGUGAGAGAGGAUGUUGGGCUGUUGUGGCGGCAACGUUUAAAUCUGAAUAUUCGUGGCAUCAGUGUCUUCACGACUCCCAGGAAGAGUCUUUGGUCAGACGGGGUGUUGACCCUAAAUUCACCAGAGUGUGUGGAGUGCAGUGGG